AUGCUUAACACAUGCAAGUCGAACGGUAACAGAUAAGAUGAUCUCUUCGGAGUGAAUCUUUGCUGACGAGUGGCGGACGGGUGAGUAAUGCUUGGGAAUCUGCCCAAUAGUGGGGGAAAACUCGGGGAAACCCGGGCUAAUACCGCAUAAUCUCUACGGAGGAAAGAGGGCCUCUACAUGUAAGCUCUCGCUAAUGGAUGAGCCCAAGUCAGAUUAGCUUGUUGGUAAGGUAAUGGCUUACCAAGGCUACGAUCUGUAGCUGGUCUGAGAGGACGACCAGCCUCACUGGGACUGAGACACGGCCCAGACUCCUACGGGAGGCAGCAGUGGGGAAUAUUGCACAAUGGGCGCAAGCCUGAUGCAGCAAUGCCGCGUGUGUGAAGAAGGCUCUAGGGUUGUAAAGCACUUUCAAUAGAGAAGAAAAGCUUGAAAUUAAUACUUUCAAGCCUUGACGUAACCUAUACAAGAAGCACCGGCUAAUUCCGUGCCAGCAGCCGCGGUAAUACGGGAGGUGCGAGCGUUAAUCGGAAUUACUGGGCGUAAAGCGAGCGUAGGCUGUUAAUUAAGUCGAAUGUGAAAUCCCCGGGCUCAACCUGGGAACUGCAUCCGAAACUAUUUAGCUAGAGUAUGGGAGAGGGAAGUAGAAUUUCCGGUGUAGCGGUGAAAUGCGUAGAUAUCGGAAGGAACACCAGUGG
RNAcentral lists this ribosomal RNA (695 nucleotides) under uncultured bacterium. Its description in RNAcentral is "bacterial SSU rRNA". It matches the Rfam family "Bacterial small subunit ribosomal RNA", at positions 44 to 715 of the family's 1533-position model. The record is from RNAcentral.